CAGCAGCAGCCGCGGGAAUACGUAGGUGGCAAGCGUUGUCCGGAAUUAUUGGGCGUAAAGGGCUCGCAGGCGGUUUCUUAAGUCUGAUGUGAAAGCCCCCGGCUCAACCGGGGAGGGUCAUUGGAAACUGGGAAACUUGAGUGCAGAAGAGGAGAGUGGAAUUCCACGUGUAGCGGUGAAAUGCGUAGAGAUGUGGAGGAACACCAGUGGCGAAGGCGACUCUCUGGUCUGUAACUGACGCUGAGGAGCGAAAGCGUGGGGAGCGAACAGGAUUAGAUACCCCAGUAGUCCCUGUCUCUUAUAC
Molecule: ribosomal RNA, 304 nt
Filed under: uncultured bacterium
Lineage: Bacteria
Description: partial 16S ribosomal RNA
Rfam family: Bacterial small subunit ribosomal RNA
Source: RNAcentral